UACGAAGGUCCCAAGCGUUAUCCGGAUUUAUUGGGUUUAAAGGGUGCGUAGGCGGGUUAUUAAGUCAGUGGUGAAAGCCUGCAGCUCAACUGCAGAAUUGCCAUUGAUACUGAUGAUCUUGAGUAUGAUUGAGGUGGGCGGAAUGUGUCAUGUAGCGGUGAAAUGCUUAGAUAUGACACAGAACACCGAUUGCGAAGGCAGCUCACUAAGUCAUAACUGACGCUGAUGCACGAAAGCGUGGGGAGCAAACAGG
RNAcentral lists this ribosomal RNA (253 nucleotides) under uncultured bacterium. Its description in RNAcentral is "partial 16S ribosomal RNA". It matches the Rfam family "Bacterial small subunit ribosomal RNA", at positions 524 to 776 of the family's 1533-position model. The record is from RNAcentral.